Molecule: signal recognition particle RNA, 267 nt
Filed under: Candidatus Hydrogenedentota bacterium
Lineage: Bacteria; Pseudomonadati; Candidatus Hydrogenedentota
Description: Candidatus Hydrogenedentes bacterium (sediment metagenome) signal recognition particle sRNA large type
Rfam family: Bacterial large signal recognition particle RNA
About the family: The signal recognition particle (SRP) is a universally conserved ribonucleoprotein involved in the co-translational targeting of proteins to membranes. Archaeal SRP consists of a 7S RNA and homologues of the eukaryotic SRP19 and SRP54 proteins. In most bacteria, the SRP consists of a 4.5S RNA and the Ffh protein (a homologue of the eukaryotic SRP54 protein).
Source: RNAcentral
CCGCGCUAGACGGGGAACUAGCGGUGCCCUGCACUCGCAAUCCGCUUUAGCGAGGUCGAAUUCCCGCCCGAGGGCGUCUUGUUCUUUAGCCAGGUGCGAAGCACGUGGUGUUGACGGUUGGGUCCUGCUCAACGUGAUGCCGCCAAACCCGGUCAGGUCCUGACGGAAGCAGCCGUAGGAGGAUGUUCACGUGUGCUGCAGGAGCGCCUGGCCCGAGCCGGCGGCUUCGUGGCCGUUCUGGGCAAGCGUUCGACGGCGGGUGCGCGG